UGAGGAAAGAAGCCUUGGGUGU
This 22-nucleotide non-coding RNA is filed under the name Rattus norvegicus (Norway rat). Lineage: Eukaryota; Metazoa; Chordata; Mammalia; Rodentia; Muridae. The record is from RNAcentral.